RNAcentral lists this ribosomal RNA (421 nucleotides) under Campylobacter gracilis. RNAcentral's name for it is "bacterial SSU rRNA". It matches the Rfam family "Bacterial small subunit ribosomal RNA", at positions 29 to 447 of the family's 1533-position model. The record is from RNAcentral. Lineage: Bacteria; Pseudomonadati; Campylobacterota; Epsilonproteobacteria; Campylobacterales; Campylobacteraceae.
AGUGAACGCUGGCGGCGUGCCUAAUACAUGCAAGUCGAACGGAAUUUAAAAGAGCUUGCUCUUUUAAAUUUAGUGGCGCACGGGUGAGUAAUAUAUAGCUAAUCUGCCCCUCGCUGGAGGACAACAGUUAGAAAUGACUGCUAAUACUCCAUACUCCUUUUUACCAUAAGAUAAAUCGGGAAAGAAUUUCGGCAAGGGAUGAGACUAUAUCGUAUCAGCUAGUCGGUGGGGUAACGGCCUACCGAGGCUAUGACGCGUAACUGGUCUGAGAGGAUGAUCAGUCACAUUGGAACUGAGACACGGUCCAAACUCCUACGGGAGGCAGCAGUAGGGAAUAUUGCGCAAUGGGGGAAACCCUGACGCAGCAACGCCGCGUGGAGGAUGACACUUUUCGGAGCGUAAACUCCUUUUGUUAGGGAAG